RNAcentral lists this long non-coding RNA (301 nucleotides) under Populus trichocarpa (black cottonwood). RNAcentral's name for it is "long non-coding RNA (PTRI_LNC004448)". Lineage: Eukaryota; Viridiplantae; Streptophyta; Magnoliopsida; Malpighiales; Salicaceae. The record is from RNAcentral.
GUGAUUUUUUGAGAUCAUUUCCCAAUUGAGGACGACAGACUACGGGAAAGAGGAGAUUGGUUGUGGUGGGGAUUGAAGCUGUGAUUUGGGAUCGGUUCAGCAUCUUCUGCUGAUAGGUUUAUCCAGCAGACUACAAGAGGUAAGAACCUGCUCUUAUAUAUCAUGCAAAGAAAUGGAUCAGAUCAGAGUUGCCAAACAUGAAAAGAGAACAAGAGCUAAAGCUGCAUAAAUUAACAGCUUAAUAAAAAGAAUACAAUUUUAUUGUGAUCUUUUGAAAAUAAAAGAGAAUAGAAAAAGGCUA